GCCCACAGUUGCCAGCGUACUCUCUGGAGUGACGGGUACACUGUGGGGACCGCCGCUAGCUAAAGCGGAGGAAGGAAUGGGCAACGGUAGGUCAGUACUGCCCCGAAUAUCCCGGGCUACACGCGAGCUACAAUGGUUGGUACAAUGGGUAUCUACCCGAAAGGGGACGGGAAUCUCCUAAAACCAAUCUUAGUUCGGAUUGAGGGCUGCAACUCGCCCUCAUGAAGCUGGAAUCCGUAGUAAUCGCGUUUCAACAGAACGCGGUGAAUACGUCCCUGCUCCUU
This 284-nucleotide ribosomal RNA is filed under the name uncultured Methanosaeta sp. RNAcentral describes it as "partial 16S ribosomal RNA". It matches the Rfam family "Archaeal small subunit ribosomal RNA", at positions 1056 to 1338 of the family's 1478-position model. Lineage: Archaea; Methanobacteriati; Methanobacteriota; Methanomicrobia; Methanotrichales; Methanotrichaceae. The record is from RNAcentral.